GCCUUCGUGGUGUAAUGGUCAACACAUUGGUACGUAUUCGACAGGCCCGAGGUUCGAAUCCCGGCUAGGGUA
RNAcentral lists this transfer RNA (72 nucleotides) under Stegodyphus mimosarum. It matches the Rfam family "tRNA". Rfam says of the family: Transfer RNA (tRNA) molecules are approximately 80 nucleotides in length. Their secondary structure includes four short double-helical elements and three loops (D, anti-codon, and T loops). The record is from Rfam by way of RNAcentral. Lineage: Eukaryota; Metazoa; Arthropoda; Arachnida; Araneae; Eresidae.